AGACGCAUUUCCCCCUGGAUAUUUUGGCUCUGUGGUUGGCUGAACCCGCGGAUGCGGAACCCUCUGGUGCAGAGGGUGACUGGACUGGAAGAUGCUCGUGUUCCCUUCACUUGGGAGGCAUUUUUGAUGUCCCUGGUUCUCUGUUCUCCAAGAGGAGAAGAGGGUCCACUUUUUCUGCUGCAAGUUCACGUUGUCCUCGGUGACCUGAGUGAUCUUCUCUAUCAGCUGGUGAGAAAAAGAAAGAUGUUGAAUGCAGAGUGGCAUCAGGAGAGGGGACCAGAGGAUGGCAGCUGGAGACCCCCAGCUCAGCAGGGCCUGGCGUCCCGAUCCCCGAAGAGGAGCGAAGGAGCCCGUGGCGACGGGCCACACUGACCUGCUGGUCGGUGAUGGUCUUGUCCUGGCUUGGCUUCGCCCGCCCGUAGGUGGCCUUGAUGAUCUGGCUUCUGAACUGCUCCAGCUGCGGCACAAAGGGGGCGACAGGUCACAGGCCUCUGGGAGUGUGACCAAGGACUCCCAGAAACAAAGAAACAGGCACGGAUUGGGGUGUGGAUGUGGACGUCACCUCGGGACACGUGAGCUGAAGCAGUUUCUUUCUGGAGUCCUCCUGAAGUUUCUCUUCCACCUGAAAGGAUGAGGAAAGCCUGUGUCUGGGGCUCAUGUGGCUCCAAUGCACCCUGGGGAGACUCCACUGGGAGGUCUAAUGGCCUGGGUCCCUCAGGGGCAGAGGGACAGCUGCAGCCCAUGCAGGGGUCACGACACGUUCGCCCGUGGAGACGCUCUGGGUGGCUGGCUGAGCACUGGCUGGUGGAGAAUCGCAGCCGGCAGAGCAGGCACUUGGCUCUCGGCUCCCCACGGCUCCCUUAAGCAGGAGGGGAGCCUGGGAGUGUUCGAUGCUGCCCUCUGCUGGCCGUCAUGGGACCCUGCAGCCUCUCUAUUCAGUUU
Long non-coding RNA from Marmota flaviventris (yellow-bellied marmot), 942 nucleotides. RefSeq lists it as uncharacterized. NCBI's taxonomy places the organism in Eukaryota, Metazoa, Chordata, Mammalia, Rodentia, Sciuridae. The record is from RefSeq and is a predicted model, not a curated record.